GGAGAGGUGGCAGAGUGGUUGAAUGCGCCGGUCUCGAAAACCGGUAUGCCUGCAAGGGUAUCGAGAGUUCGAAUCUCUCUCUCUCCGCCA
This 90-nucleotide transfer RNA is filed under the name Rhodospirillaceae bacterium. RNAcentral's name for it is "tRNA-Ser". It matches the Rfam family "tRNA". From Rfam's summary of the family: Transfer RNA (tRNA) molecules are approximately 80 nucleotides in length. Lineage: Bacteria; Pseudomonadati; Pseudomonadota; Alphaproteobacteria; Rhodospirillales; Rhodospirillaceae. The record is from RNAcentral.